GGCGGGGCUUCUCUGAGGUGAAACACCGCCAACGCCCGGGCGGCUCCAACGUGUGCACCGGCUUCAACAGAUGGAAAUUGCAGCCACAGCCGAGUGUGGGCCAAGGACCAUUAAUAUGGUAAAGCCAGAAAAAAGAUGCUGGGUCUUGUCAUUAACUCUAGAGUGAGAUGUGUUGUAAGAAGAGUGUAUUUCUAUGAAGUGUAUUUGGUGCAUAAGAAGCUCUGUCAAGAACAGAGUUUGGAAAUGUUGUGUGUCAGUUUUAACUUUAAUGUAGCCUCACACACAGCUGGAUUGCUACAAAUGAAGGGCUGUAAACCUGUGCUGCUAGCCAGUGAGUAGAGGUGCAGAAGAGACAAACCUCUUCAACUGUCUGUGCCUCUGGAGAGAUCAUUACAGUGAGCUCUACCUCUGCAGUCCCACAGGAAUUUUGGAUUUGACCUUCUGGACAUGUAUGUAUGGUAUGUAAAUGGCCCUUGUGACAUCAGUGUAAUUAUUCAAACGUGAGGUUACAUGUCUGUAAAUAUGGUGCUUAUUUUGUUCUUUUUUCUCCCGAUUCAGCAGUUAAGAUUAUGAAUGCAUUGGUGCAUGCAGCUACUUAAAAAAAAAAUAAUGAUAGGGUCAAAAAGCAUAGCAGAAAAUACUAAGGGAACAACAAAACUCUGGCUUGUUGUAUCUUUUUAAUGGUAUUUACGCUGGAAGCCUGAAAAGAAUGCAAAGGUUAACUAUAUUUGUAAUUAAUUCAUCAUGAAAAGGAAGCAAAAGAAAAAAUUAUCCUAUUUUUAUAGUAUAUGUGCUGCAGUUUGAAUUUGCAUUUUUUAAAAUUGAGAAUUUCAGCUUUCAUACUGCCUGAGGGAGAACAGCCAAAUUUGAAAGCUAGGGACGUUUCUGAUGUAGUAGUUAAUCACUUUAAAUGCAUCAGUAAUGUCCAUUAACAACAGCUUCUGUUGAAUGAGCAUAUUAAAACAAAGGAAUUGUAAUACAUUGCUAAAACCUUAGUAAGUUUUGUAGUAGUAAAACUGAUUUGUUUGUGACUAGUGGAAAAACUGGAACUUUUAAAACAUACUUUGGUGUAGAGUAUAAAAUACUAUAUAGCUACCUAAGACUGUAUUAAAUAGUUGACCAAAAGCCAAAUUAAUAUUCAGUACAAUUGAAAGAUAUUCUUCAUAUUUUGAUGACAAAUAUAAUCCAGUGGUGUAAAUUUGGAUAGUUGACUGAACUUUGUGAAGAGAAGUAUGUGUUUGGACCUGUGGUUCUGUGCUCACAUUGAUCAAAUUCUGUCCUGCUGAGCAUUACAGAAAACAAAGAUUACAUAAGAUUGUCCUAACAUACACACAUUUUUAUUUGUCACAAGAUACUAUAAUUCCUCUUCAUAACAACAAAAUAUUAUAUUUACAUUUGUUAGAGAGGUUGUAAUUAUGAAAUUUCUAUUAUUUUGAGAAUUUCUUUUAAACGUUACAAGCAGCAAUAUUAAAUAUGCACCAAACAUCCAGUAAAUUUGAAAGUGAAUUAUCUAAAUCCAUUAUUUGUUUCCCCUUACAAAAUUCUGUUAUCUCAGUUAUGAUAUGAGUGGCAGUGUUCUUGUAUUGCAAAAUGCGUGAGCUUUUGUUGGACAACAUUCUGAGCAAAGCAGCUGUUUAUUGUAUUUGUACUAGUUCUUACCCCACACAUUUUUUCAGACCAUUAUUAGUAAAUUUUGAGGUUAGAGAGGUACUGACCCAAUCAAACAUGUACAGAGCUCAGCCUCUGAGUUAAUUAAAUGUGGCUUAAUACCAUAUUAUAAGGAAAUCAUUGUCCUUAUUACAGUUAUUAGGUAGUUAGUCAAAUUAUAGCUUCAAAGGAAUGCAGAGCAUGGAGAAUUUGGGACUAAAUUAUGCAUUUGAACCUUAGGCCAGCUUUUACUGUUGAGACAGUUUGCUGCUAAAAGAAAUUGUGUGUCAUUGAAAUUAAAUGCCUUUCUGGGGAUGGAAGCUUCCAUUUUUAAAUGAAAUUACUGAGUGUGGUGUAGUGAAAUGAUUAAAAUCUGUAUUACAGGAAUGUGAUGGACAAAAAAAAUCAAUAAAUGCUAGGAAACCUUUGCUGCUGGAUGUGAA
This 2090-nucleotide long non-coding RNA is filed under the name Parus major (Great Tit). Its description in RNAcentral is "lncRNA (ENSPMJG00000009891.1)". The record is from RNAcentral. Lineage: Eukaryota; Metazoa; Chordata; Aves; Passeriformes; Paridae.